Molecule: ribosomal RNA, 521 nt
Filed under: uncultured bacterium
Lineage: Bacteria
Description: bacterial SSU rRNA
Rfam family: Bacterial small subunit ribosomal RNA
Source: RNAcentral
GAUGAACGCUAGCGACAGGCUUAACACAUGCAAGUCGAGGGGCAGCGGGGGAGUCAGCUUGCUGACUUUUGUCCGGCGACCGGCGCACGGGUGAGUAACACGUAUGCAACCUGCCCGCCACAGGGGGAUAACCGGGAGAAAUCCCGACUAAUACCGCGUAGACCGCGAGGGGGCAUCCCGACGCGGGGAAAGGACAUGGUCCGGUGGCGGAUGGGCAUGCGGCGCAUUAGCUAGUUGGCGGGGCAACGGCCCACCAAGGCGACGAUGCGUAGGGGUUCUGAGAGGAAGGUCCCCCCACAUUGGUACUGAGACACGGACCAAACUCCUACGGGAGGCAGCAGUGAGGAAUAUUGGGUCAAUGGGCGAGAGCCUGAACCAGCCAAGUCGCGUGAGGGAGGAGGGUCCUACGGAUUGUAAACCUCUUUUGCCGGGGAGCAAAGGGGCCAUUGAUGGGCAGGGAUGAGCGUACCCCGGGAGAAAAAAGCAUCGGGCUAAACUCCGUGCCAGCCGCCGCCGUAAAU